RNAcentral lists this unclassified non-coding RNA (329 nucleotides) under soil metagenome. RNAcentral describes it as "partial contains 5.8S ribosomal RNA, internal transcribed spacer 2, and large subunit ribosomal RNA". The stretch from base 1 to 121 matches the Rfam family "5.8S ribosomal RNA", at positions 35 to 154 of the family's 154-position model. The record is from RNAcentral.
GAUGAAGAACGUAGCGAAAUGCGAUAAGUAAUGCGAAUUGCAGAAUUUCCGUGAGUCAUCGAAUCUUUGAACGCACAUUGCGCCCCUUGGUAUUCCGAGGGGCAUGCCUGUUCGAGCGUCAUUAUAACCCCUCAAGCUCAGCUUGGUGUUGGGGCCUGCUGCACUGGCAGCCCUUAAAAUCAGUGGCGGCGCCAUCUGGCUCUAAGCGUAGUAAUUCUUCUCGCUAUGGAGUCCUGGUGGAUGCUUGCCAUCAACCCCCAAUUUUUCUAUGGUUGACCUCGGAUCAGGUAGGGAUACCCGCUGAACUUAAGCAUAUCAAAAGCGGAGGA